RNAcentral lists this long non-coding RNA (382 nucleotides) under Androctonus crassicauda. The record is from RNAcentral. Lineage: Eukaryota; Metazoa; Arthropoda; Arachnida; Scorpiones; Buthidae.
AAAAAAUUUGUCAUUUUUGAUGGGCGAGGAACUAUCCAUUAGUUUCUUCUUCACAUUAAUCAUGGGAAGCUUCCUUGUCUGGGGUUUCUUUAAAAAUAACAAGUUCCAGAGUGAAUUAAUCAAGCCAGGUCAGAGUCAGAAGUUAGACUCAGAGAGAGAGUUAAUAAUUGUUAGUGAACAAAAAAAUGACAAUGAUGUGAGCUUAAUGACAGCAAAGUAUGGAACUGUAUAGCAUAUACAACAAACAUUUGUGUUACAACAAACAGUGUGAACAUCUGAACAUUUAGUAUUAGCAUAUUAGAAUACAUUAGUAUUAGAAUAACUGUCAAGAUGGAUUAUCGAUAUAAGAUUGGCAAAACUCUCUCUCUCUCUCUCUCUCUCU